Long non-coding RNA from Bombus pascuorum, 481 nucleotides. RefSeq lists it as uncharacterized. The record is from RefSeq and is a predicted model, not a curated record. Lineage: Eukaryota; Metazoa; Arthropoda; Insecta; Hymenoptera; Apidae. The transcript is spliced from 2 exons.
AUCACGAUUCCACUUCGAAUAUGGACGAUCUGCGCUUGACCCACUGCGACCUCGAUGUUUCUUAGAACGGAGAUCAUGGUGGAGAGAAUGCUGCAUGCGCGCUGUUUAGAGGAAACAAGUUCUAAAUUCAAAAAAAAGAGUACCUUGCAUUUUUGGACUGUGUGGAUGAAGAUGAGGUACAGAAUACUGGAAAUAAAGGUUCUUGGUUUGGUUGGUUGGUUGUUGGCAGCAUUGGAGCUUAGAUUUAGGAAAAAUUAUGUUAUUUAUAUUUUACUUCUUUUCGAAAGAAGUUUAAAAAUAUUGGUUAAAGAACUUAUCUAUAGUCCCUUUUGGGGUUUUAUAACUUCAAGAAAUUGGAGAUAUCAAAUUGAACAUCGUAUAGAAAAAUAAAUAAACCUUAAAAAGGAAUAAUUUUUAUAAAAAUCUAUUAGCAGCCAAAUUUUUGUUAAUUAAACAGCAUGAAAAGGUAUGUAAAAUAUAA